This 497-nucleotide ribosomal RNA is filed under the name uncultured eukaryote. RNAcentral's name for it is "bacterial SSU rRNA". It matches the Rfam family "Eukaryotic small subunit ribosomal RNA", at positions 13 to 489 of the family's 1831-position model. The record is from RNAcentral.
CCUGACGGUAGUCGUAUGCUCGUCUCCGAGACUAAGCCAUGCAAGUCCAAGUACACGUCCUUGAACGACGGAAACUGCGAACGGCUCAUUAAAUCAGUUGCGAUCUACUCGGCGUUCCGCGCCGCCGGAUAACCGUAGUAAUUCUAGGGCUAAUACGUGCGAAGCGCCCGAAGCCGCGAGGCGACGGGCGUUCUCGCCGGAUGUAGGAACCGACCCGGGGACCGCCGGGGCAACCCGGCGCCCCCGAGACGGGGCGAACCACGGUGAAAUGACGGAUCGUCGGCCCCGCGCCGGCGACUCGCCGAAUGAGUUUCUGACCUAUCAACUCGAGACGGCGGGGUAGAGGCCCGCCGCGGUAACGACGGGUAACGGGGAAUCAGGGUUCGAUUCCGGAGAGGGAGCCCGAGAAACGGCUACCACUUCCAAGGAAGGCAGCAGGCGCGCAACUUACCCUAAUCUCGAUUCGAGGAGGUAGUGACAAGAAAUACCGAUGCGGG